Molecule: transfer RNA, 82 nt
Filed under: Dermacentor silvarum
Lineage: Eukaryota; Metazoa; Arthropoda; Arachnida; Ixodida; Ixodidae
Description: transfer RNA serine (anticodon AGA)
Rfam family: tRNA
About the family: Transfer RNA (tRNA) molecules are approximately 80 nucleotides in length. Their secondary structure includes four short double-helical elements and three loops (D, anti-codon, and T loops).
Source: RNAcentral
AAAGUCGUGGCCGAGCGGUUAAGGCGAUGGACUAGAAAUCCAUUCGCGUCUCCCCGCACAGGUUCAAAUCCUGUCGACUGCG